AACGAACGCUGGCGGCAUGCCUAACACAUGCAAGUCGAACGAAGGCUUCGGCCUUAGUGGCGCACGGGUGUGUCACGCGUGGGAAUCUGAACUUUUGUUCGGCAUAACAGCUGGAAACGGCUGCUAAUACGGGAUGAUGACGAAAAUCCAAAGAUUUAUCGACAGAGGAGGAGCGCGCGUGGGAUUCGGUAGUUGGUGCGGUUAUGGCCUACCACGCCGUCGAUUCAUAGCUGGUUAGAGAGGCUGAUUAGCCACACUGGGACUGAGACGCGGCCGAGAAUCCUACGGGAGGCGGCAGUGGGUGAUAGUGGACCGCGGGGGGAGGGCUGAUCCAGCAAUGAUGGGAGAGCGAUGAAGGCCGUAGGGUUGUAAAGCGCUAUUACCCGGGAAGAUAAUGACGGUACCGGGAGAAAAAGCCCCGGCUAACUCCGUG
This 433-nucleotide ribosomal RNA is filed under the name uncultured bacterium. RNAcentral's name for it is "partial 16S ribosomal RNA". It matches the Rfam family "Bacterial small subunit ribosomal RNA", at positions 29 to 507 of the family's 1533-position model. The record is from RNAcentral.